This 81-nucleotide signal recognition particle RNA is filed under the name chicken gut metagenome. RNAcentral describes it as "Bacterial small signal recognition particle RNA". It matches the Rfam family "Bacterial small signal recognition particle RNA". Rfam says of the family: The signal recognition particle (SRP) is a universally conserved ribonucleoprotein involved in the co-translational targeting of proteins to membranes. Archaeal SRP consists of a 7S RNA and homologues of the eukaryotic SRP19 and SRP54 proteins. In most bacteria, the SRP consists of a 4.5S RNA and the Ffh protein (a homologue of the eukaryotic SRP54 protein). The record is from RNAcentral.
GGUCUUAUGCAAUAUUUUGCUGUGAAUCAUGUCAGGGCCGGAAGGCAGCAGCAUUAAGUAGAUUAAAAUAUGUGCCAUAAG